Molecule: ribosomal RNA, 253 nt
Filed under: uncultured bacterium
Lineage: Bacteria
Description: partial 16S ribosomal RNA
Rfam family: Bacterial small subunit ribosomal RNA
Source: RNAcentral
UACGGGGGGGGCAAGCGUUGUUCGGAAUUACUGGGCGUAAAGGGCUCGUAGGCGGCCAAUUAAGUCAGACGUGAAAUCCCUCGGCUUAACCGGGGAACUGCGUCUGAUGCUGGAUGGCUUGAAUCCGGGAGAGGGAUGCGGAAUUCCAGGUGUAGCGGUGAAAUGCGUAGAUAUCUGGAGGAACACCGGUGGCGAAGGCGGCAUCCUGGACCGGCAUUGACGCUGAGGAGCGAAAGCCAGGGGAGCAAACGGG